GGGGGUGAUCGGUUUCGACGGUGAUCGUCGAGCCAGGAGAAGCGGGCCGAGGACGCACGGUUAUCUCGUAAACGAUCCGUGCAAACCCAUAGGUGCCAAUACAUCGCGCACCGACUUCGAACUCGCCGCCUGAGCUAGUUACGAAGUCCGUCAGCCCGAGAGUGCUCUCGACUCGGUAGCUGGCGUCAUCUAGAGAGCCACUGCUCCCAGCAUUCGUCGUCGGUGCUGGGGGGACUCUUAGACGACUGAGCCCGCUCGCGACAUGCUUGCUAGAUCGCGAGGGCUGAGAAAAAGCGCAGCAAGCUGCGCCCGGAGAAGUCCUGGUUUUUCGUCAUCGGACGCGGGUUCGAUUCCCGCCACCUCCACUG
Molecule: non-coding RNA, 368 nt
Organism: Cellulomonas cellasea DSM 20118
Lineage: Bacteria; Bacillati; Actinomycetota; Actinomycetes; Micrococcales; Cellulomonadaceae
Rfam family: transfer-messenger RNA
About the family: Bacterial tmRNA, also known as 10Sa RNA or SsrA, is named for its dual tRNA and mRNA-like properties. Its role is to liberate the mRNA from a stalled ribosome. To accomplish this part of the tmRNA is used as a reading frame that ends in a translation stop signal.
Source: Rfam